This is a non-coding RNA of Hipposideros armiger (great roundleaf bat), 74 nucleotides long. NCBI's taxonomy places the organism in Eukaryota, Metazoa, Chordata, Mammalia, Chiroptera, Hipposideridae. The record is from the annotation of a RefSeq genome assembly.
GGCCGGUUAGCUCAGUUAGUUAGAGCGUGGUGCUCAUAACACCAAGGUUGCUGGUUCGAUCCCUGCAUAGGCCG